RNAcentral lists this ribosomal RNA (770 nucleotides) under uncultured Mycobacterium sp. RNAcentral's name for it is "bacterial SSU rRNA". It matches the Rfam family "Bacterial small subunit ribosomal RNA", at positions 575 to 1343 of the family's 1533-position model. The record is from RNAcentral. Lineage: Bacteria; Bacillati; Actinomycetota; Actinomycetes; Mycobacteriales; Mycobacteriaceae.
GUGGUUUGUCGCGUUGUUCGUGAAAUCUCACGGCUUAACUGUGAGCGUGCGGGCGAUACGGGCAGGCUUGAGUACUGCAGGGGAGACUGGAAUUCCUGGUGUAGCGGUGGAAUGCGCAGAUAUCAGGAGGAACACCGGUGGCGAAGGCGGGUCUCUGGGCAGUAACUGACGCUGAGGAGCGAAAGCGUGGGGAGCGAACAGGAUUAGAUACCCUGGUAGUCCACGCCGUAAACGGUGGGUACUAGGUGUGGGUUUCCUUCCUUGGGAUCCGUGCCGUAGCUAACGCAUUAAGUACCCCGCCUGGGGAGUACGGCCGCAAGGCUAAAACUCAAAGAAAUUGACGGGGGCCCGCACAAGCGGCGGAGCAUGUGGAUUAAUUCGAUGCAACGCGAAGAACCUUACCUGGGUUUGACAUGCACAGGACGCCGGCAGAGAUGUCGGUUCCCUUGUGGCCUGUGUGCAGGUGGUGCAUGGCUGUCGUCAGCUCGUGUCGUGAGAUGUUGGGUUAAGUCCCGCAACGAGCGCAACCCUUGUCUCAUGUUGCCAGCGGGUAAUGCCGGGGACUCGUGAGAGACUGCCGGGGUCAACUCGGAGGAAGGUGGGGAUGACGUCAAGUCAUCAUGCCCCUUAUGUCCAGGGCUUCACACAUGCUACAAUGGCCGGUACAAAGGGCUGCGAUGCCGCGAGGUUAAGCGAAUCCUUUUAAAGCCGGUCUCAGUUCGGAUCGGGGUCUGCAACUCGACCCCGUGAAGUCGAAGUCGCUAGUAAUC